RNAcentral lists this transfer-messenger RNA (371 nucleotides) under Actinocatenispora rupis. It matches the Rfam family "transfer-messenger RNA". Rfam says of the family: Bacterial tmRNA, also known as 10Sa RNA or SsrA, is named for its dual tRNA and mRNA-like properties. Its role is to liberate the mRNA from a stalled ribosome. The record is from RNAcentral. Lineage: Bacteria; Bacillati; Actinomycetota; Actinomycetes; Micromonosporales; Micromonosporaceae.
GGGGGUGACUGGUUUCGACUUCGUACGUCGAGCCAGGGGAAGCGGGCUGAGGAAGCCGACGUCGUCUCAUUAAUCGGUCGUCGGAAACCUAUAAGCGCCAACUCUAAGCGCGCUGACUUCGCUCUCGCCGCCUGAGGCGAGUAGCGAGUCUGUCGGUCCGGAAGUGCCUUCGGUCCGGUAACCGGCAUCAGCUAGAGGGCUUGCUGUACGAGUGCGGUCGCGGCACUCGGACGGGACAUCAACAGCGACUGGACCCGUCACACCGACUCGCUCGCGUGAUCGGUGGGGCCGAGUAGAGACACAGCGAGCUGCGCCCGGAGAAGCCCUGGCAACACAGCGAAGGACCCGGGUUCAAUUCCCGGCACCUCCAC